AUUGAACGCUGGCGGCAGGCCUAACACAUGCAAGUCGAGCGGUAGCACAGAGAGCUUGCUCUCGGGUGACGAGCGGCGGACGGGUGAGUAAUGUCUGGGAAACUGCCUGAUGGAGGGGGAUAACUACUGGAAACGGUAGCUAAUACCGCAUAACGUCGCAAGACCAAAGUGGGGGACCUUCGGGCCUCAUGCCAUCAGAUGUGCCCAGAUGGGAUUAGCUAGUAGGUGGGGUAAUGGCUCACCUAGGCGACGAUCCCUAGCUGGUCUGAGAGGAUGACCAGCCACACUGGAACUGGGACACGGUCCAGACUCCUACGGGAGGCAGCAGUGGGGAAUAUUGCACAAUGGGCGCAAGCCUGAUGCAGCCAUGCCGCGUGUAUGAAGAAGGCCUUCGGGUUGUAAAGUACUUUCAGCGAGGAGGAAGGCGUUAAGGUUAAUAACCUUGGCGAUUGACGUUACUCGCAGAAGAAGCACCGGCUAACUCCGUGCCAGCCGCCGCCGUAA
Molecule: ribosomal RNA, 504 nt
Filed under: uncultured bacterium
Lineage: Bacteria
Description: partial 16S ribosomal RNA
Rfam family: Bacterial small subunit ribosomal RNA
Source: RNAcentral